GGCCUUANCUCAGCUGGGAGAGCGCCUGCCUUGCACGCANGAGGUCAGCGGUCCGAUCCCGCUAGGCUCCACCAG
RNAcentral lists this transfer RNA (75 nucleotides) under uncultured Alteromonadaceae bacterium. RNAcentral's name for it is "tRNA-Ala". It matches the Rfam family "tRNA". From Rfam's summary of the family: Transfer RNA (tRNA) molecules are approximately 80 nucleotides in length. Their secondary structure includes four short double-helical elements and three loops (D, anti-codon, and T loops). The record is from RNAcentral. Lineage: Bacteria; Pseudomonadati; Pseudomonadota; Gammaproteobacteria; Alteromonadales; Alteromonadaceae.